Astatotilapia calliptera (eastern happy) is the source of this 1450-nucleotide long non-coding RNA. NCBI's taxonomy places the organism in Eukaryota, Metazoa, Chordata, Actinopteri, Cichliformes, Cichlidae. The record is from Ensembl.
UUUGCACAUUUUUUUGCCAAAGUUAGAAAAGAUCAGCCAUUUCAAAAGGUGCACAUGUCUGGAUUUUUCUAUAUGGUGAUCUUCUCAAAGUAGUGGUCAACACAAACUUACAAAUUCCCGGUGAAGAAGCAAAUUAGCAAAAAUUUUGUGGAUUAAACUUUUCAUAAAUAAUACUUAUUUUACCUGCUUUGAAUAUUUAAACUGGCUGUAUUAUUAUCAUCAUAGCAAUGUAUGAAAUAAAAACAAUGCAGCAGUGAGAGGGAUGCUUUUAGCAAAUGAUUGAAAGAGUUUUAUCACCCAAAGCUCGCUGAGGCUUUAUUUGCCUUUGCAGAAUGCAAACUGUUUACCUAUCCUGACAGGAAUGUUAGCGCUAAAGUAGCUUUGCUUGGGCACCAUCUGCAGCUGGAUAUAGAGACAGCUAUUUCAUCCAGCAGUUGGUAGAGACCAAAACAGUGCUGAAAGAAGUCAAACAGACCUUAUACUCUCCAAUUCUUUGGCCAUGCAUAACAAGAAAACAAACAUCUCCACGCAGUCACGACAAACUUGCUGGUUGGCUGAAGGCAAAUUUUAUGUUACUCAGAAGCUCGCAUAUUUGUGUACACAGAAAAUGUAACACCAGUGUAAAUGAUCCACUGUGACGACUGGGUAUGUAAAACAACUGUUAGCUAACAAGUUGAAAAAACAAAACAAAAACAAACAAUAUGUUAACUUGACCCCAAGCAACCAAAAUAACAAAAUAUAUACUACUGAAGUAAAAUAAUAAUAAUAAUAAUGAUAAUAAAAGAAACGAUUUCAUAGGAGUUAAUGGGUUUAAAAAAAAUCUGCUAAAAUGUGUUUUUAGUUAGAAGGGUUUAAAAAAAACUAUCAAAAAAACCCAAAACAAAACAAAAAAAAAACCAACCCAACCAUUCUUUGUGGUCCAAGUUGUCCUUAACGACAACGCUAACAUAUCAGUGAAAGACACAAAAUUAAAUAACACUACUUCCUCUGGUAUGACAGAGUGAGAACAUUUUGGCCAGUCCAAGCCAGCUCAUGGGGUACAAGAAAUGUUAAGCCUCAGCAAAAUGCUACCAAUCAUCCGCAGAAACAUCAAAGACUGCACACACAAGCAAGUGAACAAGACAAGUCCCACGGACUUUGGCCGGUGUUAUCUCCUCAGUCCUGUACAUUCAAACUCAUCAUUCGACCUUAUAAAACUGCUGAAAUUACUCAAGCGCAAAUGGUCAGAUGGCACUAUAAAACGCACUGUCCCAUAUUAAGAUACAUACAUAUCUAAAAGAUUAAAUAUCAAAUAAAAUUUCAUUGCAGCCAUAUGGACCUCCCUAUUAACAAUGCCAUGAGAUGAAUGUUCAGUUCAGUGUAGAUGAAAGAGAAUAUUAUAACAGAAACGUCUUCUCUAUUUCAAGGAGAGGAAACACAUGCUGUGACAACUUCCCCUUUCCGAAUAGCC